ACGCUCGACACCUACGCGAGGCAGCAGUAGGGAAUCUUCCACAAUGGACGCAAGUCUGAUGGAGCAACGCCGCGUGAGUGAAGAAGGUUUUCGGAUCGUAAAGCUCUGUUGUUGGUGAAGAAGGAUAGAGGUAGUAACUGGCCUUUAUUUGACGGUAAUCAACCAGAAAGUCACGGCUAACUACGUGCCGGCAGCCGCGGUAAUCUGAGCGGGCUGGCAAGGC
Molecule: ribosomal RNA, 223 nt
Filed under: uncultured bacterium
Lineage: Bacteria
Description: partial 16S ribosomal RNA
Rfam family: Bacterial small subunit ribosomal RNA
Source: RNAcentral